RNAcentral lists this ribosomal RNA (467 nucleotides) under uncultured bacterium. RNAcentral describes it as "partial 16S ribosomal RNA". It matches the Rfam family "Bacterial small subunit ribosomal RNA", at positions 28 to 507 of the family's 1533-position model. The record is from RNAcentral.
GACGAACGCUGGCGGCGUGCUUAACACAUGCAAGUCGAACGGAAAGGCCCUGCUUUUGUGGGGUGCUCGAGUGGCGAACGGGUGAGUAACACGUGAGUAACCUGCCCUUGACUUUGGGAUAACUUCAGGAAACUGGGGCUAAUACCGGAUAGGAGCUCCUGCUGCAUGGUGGGGGUUGGAAAGUUUCGGCGGUUGGGGAUGGACUCGCGGCUUAUCAGCUUGUUGGUGGGGUAGUGGCUUACCAAGGCUUUGACGGUUAGCCGGCCUGAGAGGGUGACCGGCCACAUUGGGACUGAGAUACGGCCCAGACUCCUACGGGAGGCAGCAGUGGGGAAUAUUGCACAAUGGCGGAAGCCUGAUGCAGCAACGCCGCGUGCGGGAUGACGGCCUUCGGGUUGUAAACCGCUUUCGCCUGUGACGAAGCGUGAGUGACGGUAAUGGGUAAAGAAGCACCGGCUAACUACGUG